AGAGGAUUUAAAAGUGCUUGUGCAUUGGGGCUUUCCUUCUCCUGGUCCCCUGAGAUCUCCAUGUAUAGAUACCUGGGCAAGCUUCUUAGGGGAAGAAACCAGAAAUGAGCCACCCCAGCUGAAGCCCUCUAGACCAACUGGCUCCCAAGUGAUCUUCCAGCCAGCUGCCUGAGUGACCCUAGAGAAGACCAGGAGAACUAUCCAGCUGACCCAAGCCCAAAAUUGCUGACUCACAGAAUUGUGAACAAAUAAAGUCGAUGCUGUUUUAAGUCAUUAUGUUUUGGAGGGGGGUGGUUUGUUAUGCAGCAGUAAAUAACUGAUUCAGAGGCUUAGAAUUAGAAUUGUAGAGUCUUAGUCACAGAUUCCAUAUACCCCUACAAGCAUGUAUCUUGGUUCCUGGCAGCAGAGACUGGAAUCUUUGAUGUAGCAACUGAGGACUAGAAGGGUCCUGACACCUCUAACCAGUGAGACCCACUCCUUUUCUUUAUCGACCGACGGGGAGACCAGUUGACCCACUCACCCUCUUACAACCUGGAGCCUUCCCUCCACCCACAAGCGUUCCUGGAUCUGUCCACGGUGCUGAAUGUCUUUAUGCUUCUUGCCACUGCCUGCCUCAGAAUGGCUACUUCUAGAAGGGGAAGUUAGCCAUCACGGCAAGAGUACCCUUAUGGAGAGGCUUGUGUAAAAACUUUGACCAACUGCCAGCAAAAAAUGGUUGCCUGACAACAACCACAGAGUGAGCCUGGAAGUGGAUCCCCGUUAAGCCUUCUGAUGACUGCAGCCCUGGCUGACACUUGACUGCAACCUCAUGAGAGAUCCUGAGCCACAAUCUCACAGUCCACUUCUGGGUUCUCAAUCCUCAGAAAUUGUGUGAGAUAAUAAACAUGUGUUAUUUUAA
This is a long non-coding RNA of Neofelis nebulosa (Clouded leopard), 898 nucleotides long. RefSeq lists it as uncharacterized. The transcript is spliced from 3 exons. Lineage: Eukaryota; Metazoa; Chordata; Mammalia; Carnivora; Felidae. The record is from RefSeq and is a predicted model, not a curated record.